CUUCGCUGACGAGUGGCGGACGGGUGAGUAAUGUCUGGGAAACUGCCUGAUGGAGGGGGAUAACUACUGGAAACGGUGGCUAAUACCGCAUAACGUCGCAAGACCAAAGAGGGGGACCUUCGGGCCUCUUGCCAUCAGAUGUGCCCAGAUGGGAUUAGCUAGUUGGUGAGGUAACGGCUCACCAAGGCGACGAUCCCUAGCUGGUCUGAGAGGAUGACCAGCCACACUGGAACUGAGACACGGUCCAGACUCCUACGGGAGGCAGCAGUGGGGAAUAUUGCACAAUGGGCGCAAGCCUGAUGCAGCCAUGCCGCGUGUAUGAAGAAGGCCUUCGGGUUGUAAAGUACUUUCAGCGGGGAGGAAGGUGUUGUGGUUAAUAACCGCAGCAAUUGACGUUACCCGCAGAAGAAGCACCGGCUAACUCCGUGCCAGCAGCCGCGGUAAUACGGAGGGUGCAAGCGUUAAUCGGAAUUACUGGGCGUAAAGCGCACGCAGGCGGUCUGUCAAGUCGGAUGUGAAAUCCCCGGGCUCAACCUGGGAACUGCAUUCGAAACUGGCAGGCUUGAGUCUUGUAGAGGGGGGUAGAAUUCCAGGUGUAGCGGUGAAAUGCGUAGAGAUCUGGAGGAAUACCGGUGGCGAAGGCGGCCCCCUGGACAAAGACUGACGCUCAGGUGCGAAAGCGUGGGGAGCAAACAGGAUUAGAUACCCUGGUAGUCCACGCCGUAAACGAUGUCUACUUGGAGGUUGUGCCCUUGAGGCGUGGCUUCCGGAGCUAACGCGUUAAGUAGACCGCCUGGGGAGUACGGCCGCAAGGUUAAAACUCAAAUGAAUUGACGGGGGCCCGCACAAGCGGUGGAGCAUGUGGUUUAAUUCGAUGCAACGCGAAGAACCUUACCUGGUCUUGACAUCCACAGAAGAAUCCAGAGAUGGAUUUGUGCCUUCGGGAACUGUGAGACAGGUGCUGCAUGGCUGUCGUCAGCUCGUGUUGUGAAAUGUUGGGUUAAGUCCCGCAACGAGCGCAAC
RNAcentral lists this ribosomal RNA (1023 nucleotides) under Salmonella enterica subsp. enterica. Its description in RNAcentral is "bacterial SSU rRNA". It matches the Rfam family "Bacterial small subunit ribosomal RNA", at positions 83 to 1102 of the family's 1533-position model. The record is from RNAcentral. Lineage: Bacteria; Pseudomonadati; Pseudomonadota; Gammaproteobacteria; Enterobacterales; Enterobacteriaceae.